RNAcentral lists this ribosomal RNA (253 nucleotides) under uncultured bacterium. RNAcentral describes it as "partial 16S ribosomal RNA". It matches the Rfam family "Bacterial small subunit ribosomal RNA", at positions 524 to 776 of the family's 1533-position model. The record is from RNAcentral.
UACAGAGGCCUCGAGCGUUAGGCGGAAUCACUGGGCUUAAAGCGUGUGUAGGCGGACUUCUAAGUACCUUGUGAAAUCCCACGGCUUACCCGUGGAACGGCUCGGUAUACUGGGUAUCUUGAGCCACUUAGGGGCGACCGGAACAAAUGGUGGAGCGGUGAAAUGCGUAGAUAUCAUUUGGAACGCCAACGGCGAAAGCAGGCAGCUGGGGAUGCACCGACGCUGAGACACGAAAGCCAGGGGAGCGAACGGG